GCGAGGUUAGCUCAGGGGUAGAGCACUGCAUUCACACUGCAGGGGUCGCAAGUUCGAAACUUGCACUUCGCACCA
Molecule: transfer RNA, 75 nt
Filed under: Duganella callida
Lineage: Bacteria; Pseudomonadati; Pseudomonadota; Betaproteobacteria; Burkholderiales; Oxalobacteraceae
Description: Duganella sp. DN04 tRNA-Val
Rfam family: tRNA
About the family: Transfer RNA (tRNA) molecules are approximately 80 nucleotides in length. Their secondary structure includes four short double-helical elements and three loops (D, anti-codon, and T loops).
Source: RNAcentral